CAAUAAUCUUGUACAAUAGGCAGAAUAAUAGUAAUAUAACUAGUAGGUAUGUUAUUAAUAAGAUCAUAAGUAAAUAUUUAAGUGAAGAGCUUCAGUAGGUGUGGCCCAGUAUCUCCCAGGGUUGUCUAACCAGUCUGUUUUGCAUCCAUCACCAUCUUUAAGGGAAAUGGUAUGUUGUUAUAAGUUCACUAAAGAUCUCUGCAGGUAUGAGGUGAGUGGUGAAUCAUGGUGAUCCCUUAAGGACAGACAAAAGAAUGUUAUCUUGUGAGGAGUUAUGGCUGGUGUUAGAAGAACAAUUGAUAUUUAUGUUUGAGCAGGUAUUACUGCCACUGGGUAGUCUGGCUAAUGCAGAUGCAUAAUGGACAGUAGACAGGAGGGAGGAGGCCAAAGGGCAGAGAAAAAGUUUCUGUUCAAAAUUUUCUUGUCUUGCCUUAAAAUGUGAAUUUUUAUUUCAUCAGCUUAUCCUAGGUUUCGUGCAUCCAAGGCAUUGUUAACAGAUCUCUCCUUUCUACUGCUGGCAAACUCCAGAGACCCUUUCCUCUACCUGUGGACUUAGUGCUUUCUUUCACAGAAAUGAUAUGUUGUUGUCAUAAGUAAACUUUACUAAAGAUGUCGGAGCAGAUACAUGGUGAGUGAUGGAUCAUGGUGACCCCUUAAGAAUGAACAAAGGAAUGUUAUCUUCUGAAGAAUUAUGUGGGCUGGUGUUCAAAGAAGAGCAACUGAUGUUUAUGUCUGAAGAGGUAUUUCUGUCAUCGGGAACUCUGAUUAAUGCAGAAUGUAGAUGCAUGAUGUAUAGGAGAGGGGAGGGAAGAGACUAAAGAGCAGAGAAAAUUUUAUGUUUAAAGUUUUUCUUGUCUUGCCUGAAAAUGUGAACUAUUUCCUCACGUAUAUACAUACAAACACAGUUUUUCACAUUUCGGUGAGUUCAGGACUGCCGAAUAAACCCAGUUAAUAACC
Molecule: long non-coding RNA, 957 nt
Organism: Bubalus bubalis (water buffalo)
Lineage: Eukaryota; Metazoa; Chordata; Mammalia; Artiodactyla; Bovidae
Exons: 2
Source: RefSeq, a predicted model, not a curated record